GAUGAACGCUGGCGGCGUGCCUAAUACAUGCAAGUCGAGCGAACAGACGAGGAGCUUGCUCCUCUGAUGUUAGCGGCGGACGGGUGAGUAACACGUGGAUAACCUACCUAUAAGACUGGGAUAACUUCGGGAAACCGGAGCUAAUACCGGAUAACAUGUUGAACCGCAUGGUUCAACAGUGAAAGACGGUCUUGCUGUCACUUAUAGAUGGAUCCGCGCCGCAUUAGCUAGUUGGUAAGGUAACGGCUUACCAAGGCAACGAUGCGUAGCCGACCUGAGAGGGGUGUCAGCCCACAGGGGAGUGGGACCAGGUCCCGUCCUCCAAGGGGUGGGCGAGGAGGGGAAUUUUCAGGAAGGGCGAAAAGCCUGAGAGAAAAGGCCGGGGGGAGAAAAGAUGGUCUAGGGUUCGAAAACCUUUUUUAUGGGGAAAAAAAAAAGUGAUAGGAAAAUAUGCUGUUCUUGACGAUCCUUAAUAGGAAGACCACGGCAACCUCGGUG
Molecule: ribosomal RNA, 498 nt
Filed under: uncultured bacterium
Lineage: Bacteria
Description: partial 16S ribosomal RNA
Rfam family: Bacterial small subunit ribosomal RNA
Source: RNAcentral